This is an unclassified non-coding RNA of Bombyx mandarina (wild silkworm), 1827 nucleotides long. The record is from RefSeq and is a predicted model, not a curated record. NCBI's taxonomy places the organism in Eukaryota, Metazoa, Arthropoda, Insecta, Lepidoptera, Bombycidae.
GAACGUAUUUAACUUCGCGUGACAAUUCAACGAGACAUGCCAAUGAGUUGACAACAGCGGAACAACAGCGCGAAGAAAUAACCACAGAAAAAUUGUCGAAUUAAAAUUUAUAAUAUUGCAAAACAAAAACAAAAAACUAUGUGCAUAAGUGUUCGCGGAAGAUAAUCUAUUGGUUUUUUUUUAAAUUGUUUAUUAUUUUAUCUGUGAUACAAAAUGGCUUCGUGGAAGUUUAUCGCUGUGUCGACGGUUUGUGUGUUUGUGUUUCUGUCGGGUAACAUCUCGGGACUGGACAAUGGCUUGGUGCUGACGCCGCCCAUGGGCUGGUUGGCCUGGGAACGGUUUAGGUGUAACACCGAUUGCAAAAACGACCCUGAAAAUUGUAUCAGCGAUCGUCUAUUCCGUACCAUGACCGAUAUCUUAGUGACCGAAGGGUAUACCGCGGCUGGGUACGAGUACAUCAACGUGGACGACUGCUGGCUGGAGCGGGAGAGGGACGAGAGAGGUAGACUAGUGCCGGACAGAGAACGGUUCCCUUACGGAAUGAAGAGUUUAGCCGAUUAUGUACACAGCAAGGGUCUGAAAUUCGGUAUUUACGAGGACUACGGUAAUUUCACUUGCGCUGGCUACCCCGGAGUCGUCGGCCAUCUUUCCGGAGAUGCGACGACCUUCGCCUCAUGGGGCGUCGACUACGUUAAGCUGGACGGGUGCUACGCCCUGCCAACGGACAUGGAUUACGGCUACCCUGAGUUCGGGAGACAGCUCAAUCUUACCGGUCGUCAGAUGGUGUACUCCUGUAGUUGGCCCGUCUAUCAGAUCUACGCUGGUCUACAGCCAAAUUUCUCGUCAAUAAUCGAGCACUGCAAUCUGUGGCGUAACUUCGACGACAUCCAGGACUCGUGGGCCUCUGUCGAGUCUAUCAUAGACUACUAUGGAAACCACCAAGACGUCAUCGUGCCCAACGCUGGGCCGGGACACUGGAACGACCCCGACAUGUUGAUCGUCGGCAACUUUGGACUAUCGUACGAGCAGAGCAAGACGCAGUUCGCGCUGUGGGCGAUCCUCGCCGCGCCGCUGCUGAUGAGCGUCGACCUGCGCACCAUCAGGCCGGAGUACAAGGCCAUACUGCAGAACAGGAAGAUCAUCGAGGUCGACCAGGACCCCCUCGGCAUACAAGGCAGGAGGAUCUACAAGCACCGCGGCAUCGAAAUCUGGUCCCGCCCCAUCCUGCCCAUCCAGCAAGGACAGUUCUACUCGUACGCCGUGGCCUUCGUCAACAGGAGGACGGACGGGACCCCCUCCGACGUCGCCGUCACGCUGAGGGAGCUGGGGCUCAGCAACCCCACCGGCUACAGGGUCGAGGACCUGUACGAGGACGUGGACUACGGCGUGCUGUCGCCGCAGACGAAAAUCAAGGUCAAGGUCAACCCCUCAGGUAGUGUGGUGAUUUUGAGGGCAGACGCGCAACCGGGCUACGCUUUCAACGCGAUAACGACGCGAACUCCGUACACGCCACUCAACGACGUCUUCCGAUUGACCAAGAAAUAGGUUACAGCGCCAUCUAUCUCCCGCCUGCGAUACUAAAUGAAAUGACGCGUGAUUGGUUUGAUGAGUUACAGUUUUUGAUUAACAGAGGGCAGUGAUGUAAAUUAUUUUUCAGAUCUGAGUAGGUAGUGUAGUCUUCGUUUUACUUUCUAUUAACAAUUUUAAAGAACAAAUCAUUUGAAGUUUACGUGUUUUUACUUUUUUUUUUAAAAAUUCAAAUUUAAUUGAGAUUUCUAAAUAAAAUCACUACGGAAUUCAGUGCAAUCAUGCAAAUAUUUAUGAAAA